Molecule: long non-coding RNA, 1164 nt
Organism: Triticum dicoccoides
Lineage: Eukaryota; Viridiplantae; Streptophyta; Magnoliopsida; Poales; Poaceae
Exons: 5
Source: RefSeq, a predicted model, not a curated record
UACGUCAUAACAAAUUCGUGUCCCCUUGUGCUCUAAGGGAACGUAAUACAGCUGCUAAUUCUUUACAAGAGACUUCGGAGGCCUUUCCUGUCUGCAACAUCCAAAAUCAGAUGAAAAGCAUAACAGCAUACAACUUUGGUGAGCUGGAAAAGAGCUAGCUAUAGAUAAGAAGCUAUCUGGGUAUAUUGGUGUUAAUGACAAAAAAGAGAGCUCCCAAUGAACAAACACACUCUGAGCAGCAAAAAGCGAAGCAUUUUUGGGUAUCUAGGUUUCUCAUCACUGAUAGACUAUGUACCACAUUUCAGGAUGGUUGCAGGCAUCUUAAGCAGGUGCUUUUGAUCCUUUUAUUACUAGUUGAUCAUUUUAUAUUUUAUAUUUUCUACGGACAUACUUUAGUGAUCUAAACGCUCUUAUAUUUCUUUACGAAGGAGAGAGUAACAUGGAAGGACAUGUGUGUUUCUGUGAUUCUGUCGAAGGCGAAACACAACGUGGGGUACUCCUAUAAUUAUUGGCAAAAACAUACUUGAGGCUCUGUGAAGUCCAUUCUGGAUUGAGGAACCAGAGAGUAUGCGCGUUGCUGCAAUCAUGGAGCUUCCAGUGGCGAGAUGAGAUUAUACACACACGUGACAUAUAGCCGGUGCCUGUCUGAACCCAACCCUUGGCGUAUGCAACCGGAGGAAUCAGUCAGGAGUCGGGCAACGUCACUCGUGGGAAACCUACACUGUUCAGGACUCAGCAACCGGCCAAGGUGUGUGGGGGGAAGGAAGAUGGCGCCUCUCUGGCUGUCCACAGGUCUGAGAAGAUUUAACAAGGGCAGAAAAAGAAAAUCGUGCGUAGGGGCUCCUCCAGCAAGAACUGCGAACUUUACGGGAAAAGACUGACAAGCGUAGCCUAGUUUCAUAAUAAUUACGCCCAUGAGAUUGAGAUUCCACAAGGAUUCGAGAUCAAUGACAACGCAAGUAAUGAUAUUUUAGAAGCAUGUGCUCCUGCGACCUAGGGAAGAUAUAUAUAUCUCGAACACUUUUCCCUGCCCCUCCUUUUCAUUUCAAGCAAAAGGGUUGACUAUGCUGUAGCGCCCAAGUAACAUAUUGAUUUGCCCACUUGACCUAGAUUCGGUGUGGACUCGUGAUCAACUGCAAUGCUAAAAUAAUGUGGACCUAGCUA